GCGGAGGAAAAGAAACUAACAAGGAUUCCCCUAGUAACGGCGAGUGAAGCGGGAAGAGCUCAAAUUUGAAAGCUGGCACCUUCGGUGUCCGCGUUGUAAUCUCGAGAAGUGUUUUCCGUGCUGGACCAUGUACAAGUUCCUUGGAAUAGGACGUCAUAGAGGGUGAAAAUCCCGUACUUGACAUGGACGCCCAGUGCUUUGUGAUACACUCUCCACGAGUCGAGUUGUUUGGGAAUGCAGCUCAAAAUGGGUGGUAAAUUCCAUCUAAAGCUAAAUAUUGGGGAGAGACCGAUAGCGAACAAGUACCGUGAGGGAAAGAUGAAAAGCACUUUGGAAAGAGAGUUAAACAGUACGUGAAAUUGUCGAAAGGGAAGCGCUUGAAGUUAGACAUGCUUGCCGGGAUUCAGCCUUGCUUCUGCUUGGUGCAUUUCCCGGUGUGCAGGCCAGCAUCAGUUUUGUUUGCCGGAUAAGGGUGAGAGGAAUGUGGCCCCUCUGGGGUGUUAUAGCCUCUCACUGGAUACGGCGGAUGGGACUGAGGACCGCAGUGUGCCUUUAUGGCGGGCCUUCGGGCACCUUCACACUUAGGAUGCUGGCGUAAUGGCUUUAAGCGACCCGUCUUGAAACACGGACCGAGGAGUCUAACAUGUCUGCGAGUCUUUGGGUGGCAAACCCAUAGGCGCAAUGAAAGUGAAUGCAGGUGGGAUCCGCAAGGAGCACCAUCGACCGAACCGGAUCUUCUGUGAUGGUUUUGAGUAAGAGCAUAUAUGUUGGGACCCGAAAGAUGGUGAACUAUGCCUGAAUAGGGCGAAGCCAGAGGAAACUCUGGUGGAGGCUCGUAGCGGUUCUGACGUGCAAAUCGAUCGUCAAAUUUGGGUAUAGGGGCGAAAGACUAAUCGAACCAUCUAGUAGCUGGUUCCUGCCGAAGUUUCCC
Molecule: ribosomal RNA, 931 nt
Filed under: Quambalaria tasmaniae
Lineage: Eukaryota; Fungi; Basidiomycota; Exobasidiomycetes; Microstromatales; Quambalariaceae
Description: partial 28S ribosomal RNA
Rfam family: Eukaryotic large subunit ribosomal RNA
Source: RNAcentral